CUAAUAACUUAUUACACCAUAUAAUAUAUAUUCUACAAUAUACUAAUGACUACUAUAUAAGAUAUUGCCUUAAAAAAAAUGUCAGACCCGUUAGGCCCGCCAGGCCCGGGACCGCAGUGGGCUUAGGCUCGUAAGGGGCCGGUCUCUACCGUGAGGACCGCCAGGCCCGCCAGGCCCGGCACGCCAAGCCCGGGACCCCGAACCCCGGUUCGUCAGGCCCGAGCCACAAUACAACAUUUCCCGGGACUUGAUUGUUGAGCUAUUGUUCCCUUGCAAAAUUCUUAUUAUUGUGAUUUCAUUUGUUCCCAUUCCCCAAUGUUUGUGAGUGUUUUAUGGUGAGGAAGCGUGCUAAGGCAGGAAGGGUGAUGCCAUGUAUUGUUUUGGUGAAAGAGUGUUAAGGCAUUAACAAUGAUGUCGUGUAUGAUUUAUGAGGAAAGAGUGUAAAGCACGAAGGUUGAUUUUGUGCCGCACGAUGUACCAUUCCGUGCCGAUUAUCUUGAUUAUACGGUGAGGACGAGAUUAAAAUAACAAAGGGUUAUGCCGUUCACAUUUUUAUUACUUGAUUAUUUAGUGAGGACGAAAGUAAAAGCACGAAGGGUGAUGCUGUACACUUAUUAUUUUUUGAUUCAUUGUUCAUAUCUGAGAUAUGUUGUUUCUCUCAAUUACAUGUUGUCUUUUUAUUCUAAAUUGAUAGUUCCCACGCAGCAUGUUACCCCUCCUAUACUUAACUGUAUAUUACAGUUCUUCUUUUCCGCUGUAUUUGGUUGAAUUGUACAGGUUUAUUUGGUAGUCCGUUCUUAGCCUCGUCACUACUUGGACGAGGUUAGGCUAAGCACUUAUCAAUACAUGGGGUUGGUUGUGCUGAUGCUACACUCUUCAUUUUGUGCAUUUCCCGGAGUAGCAGCUUUUGGAUUGUAGAUUGGGUGGAUGCCUUCAGUCCAUACGAAGACCCUAAGUAGUCCUGCAAUCAUCCGCAGACCCUGGCGUCUCCUUUAAUCCUUAUUCCUGUUUUAUUUAUUUAAUUCAAAAAAAAUGUAUCUUUUAUCUUUCAGACUUUGUAUCUAAUAUUCUUAGACCGUCUGUUAAAAUGUGACUCCAGUUUUGGGUAGUUUUUGGUUAAACAGUUGUAUUGAUACAUAUUUCAGAUAGUUUACUGCAUUUUUUCCUCUUAUUGAAAUUUCUACUGUGUACACGUUAUUACUUUAUAAUUGUUAAUGUAUAUAAAAUGGGUAAAAGGGUAAUUUAUACAAAUAGUCGGCUUGCCUAGCUAACAUUAAUAGGUGUCAUCACGACUUCCGAAGAUGAUAAAUCUGGAUCGUAGCACGUGUUGUCAGUUAAUUAUUGGCUUGAAAUUGAACAUUCACUAAUUAUCCGUGAGUUAAUGAUGGAAGUCGUUAUAAUAACAAGUUCUUUUAAAUGCCACUCGAGGGUGACUUUAGGUUUCAAGUUCGGGUUGUUUAAGGACCGUUUGGUCAUAGAGUUUGCCAAAAUUUAUAUGGUAUUUUUUUUGAUAAAUACAUAUUUGUUCAUAAAUUUUAUUUUA
RNAcentral lists this long non-coding RNA (1543 nucleotides) under Nicotiana benthamiana. RNAcentral describes it as "long non-coding RNA (NBEN_LNC006332)". Lineage: Eukaryota; Viridiplantae; Streptophyta; Magnoliopsida; Solanales; Solanaceae. The record is from RNAcentral.